This 361-nucleotide ribosomal RNA is filed under the name uncultured bacterium. RNAcentral's name for it is "bacterial SSU rRNA". It matches the Rfam family "Bacterial small subunit ribosomal RNA", at positions 28 to 390 of the family's 1533-position model. The record is from RNAcentral.
GACGAACGCUGGCGGCGUGCCUAACACAUGCAAGUCAACUUGACUGAAGGAGCAAUCUGACAGUAGAGUGGCGCAAGGGUGCGUAACGCGUAAGUAACUUGCCCCAAGGUAAGGAAUAACGUCGAGAAAUACGGCGCUAAUACUCAUAAUGCAGCGGAUCCGCAUGGAUAUGUUGUUAAAGGUUUACCGCCUUGGAUAGGCUUGCGUCUGAUUAGCUAGUUGGUGUGGUAACGGCACACCAAGGCUACGAUCAGUAACUGGUCUGAGAGGAUGAUCAGUCACACUGGAACUGAGACACGGUCCAGACUCCUACGGGAGGCAGCAGUGAGGAAUAUUGGGCAAUGCUCGAAAGAGUGACCCA